RNAcentral lists this ribosomal RNA (876 nucleotides) under uncultured bacterium. RNAcentral's name for it is "bacterial SSU rRNA". It matches the Rfam family "Bacterial small subunit ribosomal RNA", at positions 54 to 925 of the family's 1533-position model. The record is from RNAcentral.
CAUGCAAGUCGAGGGGCAGCAUGUUGGUUGCUUGCAACCAACGAUGGCGACCGGCGCACGGGUGAGUAACGCGUAUCCAACCUACCCUUGUCCAUCGGAUAACCCGUCGAAAGGCGGCCUAACACGAUAUGCGGUUCACAGCAGGCAUCUAACGUGAACGAAAUGUGAAGGAGAAGGAUGGGGAUGCGUCUGAUUAGCUUGUUGGCGGGGUAACGGCCCACCAAGGCUACGAUCAGUAGGGGUUCUGAGAGGAAGGUCCCCCACAUUGGAACUGAGACACGGUCCAAACUCCUACGGGAGGCAGCAGUGAGGAAUAUUGGUCAAUGGACGAGAGUCUGAACCAGCCAAGUAGCGUGCAGGAAGACGGCCCUAUGGGUUGUAAACUGCUUUUAUAGGGGGAUAAAGUGUGCCACGUGUGGCAUAUUGCAGGUACCCUAUGAAUAAGGACCGGCUAAUUCCGUGCCAGCAGCCGCGGUAAUACGGAAGGUCCAGGCGUUAUCCGGAUUUAUUGGGUUUAAAGGGAGCGUAGGCCGUUUGGUAAGCGUGUUGUGAAAUGUCGGGGCUCAACCUGGGCAUUGCAGCGCGAACUGCCAGACUUGAGUGCGCAGGAAGUAGGCGGAAUUCGUCGUGUAGCGGUGAAAUGCUUAGAUAUGACGAAGAACUCCGAUUGCGAAGGCAGCCUGCUGUAGCGCAACUGACGCUGAAGCUCGAAAGCGUGGGUAUCGAACAGGAUUAGAUACCCUGGUAGUCCACGCGGUAAACGAUGGAUGCUCGCUGUUUGCGUCUGACGUAAGCGGCCAAGCGAAAGCGUUAAGCAUCCCACCUGGGGAGUACGCCGGCAACGGUGAAACUCAAAGGAAUUGACGGGGGCCCGCA